This 75-nucleotide transfer RNA is filed under the name Candidatus Woesebacteria bacterium. RNAcentral's name for it is "tRNA-Val". It matches the Rfam family "tRNA". From Rfam's summary of the family: Transfer RNA (tRNA) molecules are approximately 80 nucleotides in length. Their secondary structure includes four short double-helical elements and three loops (D, anti-codon, and T loops). The record is from RNAcentral. Lineage: Bacteria; Candidatus Woeseibacteriota.
GCCCGCUUAGCUCAGUGGUAGAGCAUUCCCUUUACAUGGGAGUGGUCGGGAGUUCAAAUCUCUCAGCGGGCACCA